CUCGUGAUCUGUGACGACAUUGACUUGGUCUCCUCCAGGUUGAGGGACCCAACGGGGCUGGCCGACGUGUCGUCGGACCCGCCGCUGCUCGCCUUGCCGGACCACAGCUUCCCCAGCACUCUCUUCACCGGCGCCGGCGCCACCGCACCGCCCUUGGCCUUCUUCCUGUCGCCGCCGCCGCCGCUUCUCCCGUUCUCGUUGGCCGACAGCUGGCUCAUGGACCGGAGCGAGCCGGCGUCGCCGGCGCCGCCCGACGUCGACGUCGUCACAGGCGCGCCCACCACGGCGCCGCUGCCCCACUGCUCGUCCUCCGUCGCCGUCGUGGUCGCCGACCUCGAGCUGCCGUACGACGCGCCGUCGUCCCUGGGCAGGAUGAGCGAGCGCGCGGGGGCGGCGGAGGCUGCCGCCGCCGCCGCCGACUGCCGGACCUGCUCGAAGAAGAGGACCUGUACCACCACGCGCAGGGGCAGCCGCUCGUUCUGCACGGCGUGCUCGCUCGCGUCCGCCGUCAGCUUCCUGCAGUCCAUCAGCGCGCACAGCCGCUUCUUCUCGCCCUUCGACAAGCCCGGAUGCUCCUGCGCGCGUGUGCACAGCAGAGAGAGAUUCGACAGCGCACAAUCGUACAAAGAUUUUUGCGCAUUCUUUUUAGCUACUGAAAUCGCAGAUUUUUGCGCAUUUCUGAAACUGAAAUUGCAGACAGAUAUGAUGCAGAAUUGCUUUCAGAGCAUAAUCUUGCGCGUGCAUACCUUGAGGUAAACGUCGAUGGCGCGGUAGAGCGCGUCGUGCACCGGGCGAGACAGGGGCGGCAUCGAUUCGGCGAGGGCGACGAACGUCUCCAGAGGAAGGCACGGGUCCUUGGCGAUCUCGGAGAGGUAUCCAUCGACCAGCUUUGCGACAGCGGCCAGCUUCGAAGAAGUGACCGGGUCGUCAGCGGCAACAUCCACGUCGUCCUCGCCAUCUUCCCGCUUCUCCGCCUCGGCCCCAUUUACCUUGUGAUGCAGCAAGAACUCCUCCAGCAUCGCAGCCACCAUGCCAACAUUGUACGUCGCGUCGCCGUCGCCGUCGCCGGAGUCCGCAGGUAUCAGAAGGUCCGGGACCGAAGCCCGUUCCAGCUGCGCGCCGAUCCUCCUGAUCAGCUCGCCGCGGUAGGCCUGACCGGACUCCAGUAGGCACGAGGCCCUGAGCAGCUUGAGAAGGAGGCCACAGGAGACCGACCCCUUCUCGGCCGGCAGCAGGUCGGCGACGGCUUCAAGAGCCGCGCGGUGCUUGGUGCAAUCGAGCCCGUCGCUGACGGCGUGGUCCAGGGACCCGAACAGCCGGCGGCACGCGUAGGCCCGCAGCGCCUCGCCGACGACGGCGCCGCCCGUCCUCCCCUUGGCCUUGAUCGCCAGGAUCACCUUCCUGUACAGGCACACCUCGAGGUCGCAGAGAUCCUCCACCCACCAGUCCCUCGGCACCGCCUGCCGCUUCCUGACGCCGUUCCAGCCGCGCGCGUCGCCGUCGGUCUCCGACGGGAGCUUCCUCCGGCUGUACGUGUACGACCAGUCGACCUCCGACGGGUCCGUGGACGCCCGGGAGGCGAUGGCGUCGACGCAGUGGUUGACCACCUUGAGGCUGUCCGUCCACCGCUGCAGCGGCCUCGUCGACUGCAGCACGAUGAUGGAGUCCUUCCAGGCCCGGAAGAUGCUGGCCGACAGGAACACGUCGAUCUUGUACACCAGGUUCCCCUUCUCCACCGUCUCCGACAUCUCCAGGUACUCCGCCGCGCACCGGGCGGCCAGCACGUUGUAGGCGUUGAGCGUCACCACCAUGCCGUAGCAGAACUUGGCACAGACCUCGAACGCCGCCGGGCCGCCCGGGAUGUCGGAGAUGUCCACCUCGUCGCUGCCCUCCUCGCUUGUCGAGGCCACCAGCGUUUGUAGGCGGGAGCUCUUGGACAGAAGAGGGAACUGUGUGUGUGUGUGUGUUGAAUUUUGAAACAGAACAUCUCUGAUCAGUCACAAGUUCAGUUUCAAUCACAGAAAAAACACGUAAUAAAUGUAAUGAAGCAUGUGUCAAGAACACUUUGUGUGCAAG
This 2076-nucleotide unclassified non-coding RNA is filed under the name Zea mays. RNAcentral's name for it is "misc RNA Zm00001eb030270". The record is from RNAcentral. Lineage: Eukaryota; Viridiplantae; Streptophyta; Magnoliopsida; Poales; Poaceae.